Molecule: transfer RNA, 64 nt
Filed under: Labritermes buttelreepeni
Lineage: Eukaryota; Metazoa; Arthropoda; Insecta; Blattodea; Termitidae
Description: tRNA-Arg
Source: RNAcentral
AAGCGAGAAGCAAAAGUUGCAAUCAGUUUCGACCUGAUCUUUGAUAAUGAAUUAUCCUCUCUUU